Molecule: ribosomal RNA, 443 nt
Filed under: uncultured bacterium
Lineage: Bacteria
Description: partial 16S ribosomal RNA
Rfam family: Bacterial small subunit ribosomal RNA
Source: RNAcentral
CCUACGAGAGGCUGCAGUGGGUAAUAUUGGGCAAUGGGCGCAAGCCUGACCCAGCAACGCCUCGUGAAGGAAGAAGGCUUUCGGGUUGUAAACUUCUUUUGUCAGGGACGAAGCAAGUGACGGUACCUGACGAAUAAGCCACGGCUAACUACGUGCCAGCAGCCGCGGUAAUACGGAGGUGGCAAGCGUUAUACGGAUUUACUGGGUUUAAAGGGCGUGUAGGCGGGGAAGCAAGUCAGUUGUGAAAACCACGGGCUCAACAUGUUGCCUGCAUUUGAAACUGUUAUUCUUGAGUGCUGGAGAGGCAAUCGGAAUGCCGUGUGUAGCGGUGAAAUGCGUAGAUAUACGGAGGAACACCAGUGGCGAAGGCGGAUUGCUGGACAGUAACUGACGCUGAGGCGCGAAAGCGUGGGGAGCAAACAGGAUUAGAUACCCUUGUAGUC